CCCAUCACCCAAAUAUCAAAGAAGACCUAGUUCAUCAUGAUUCAGUGAAAUAAACUUUAGAACACUAAUCCUAGUUCAUCAGGACUCAAUGAAAUCAUAAUGAACUACGAUCCACAACACUAUCAAUUUAACAUCAAUUGAUACUAUAGAUGAAACAAAUUUCAAUUUACCUUUUAACCUAUGUGAAUGCAUCAAGGAAAUCAAAUUGAAACCUAACCGAAGAAAAUGAAGGGGAGGAAGGAACUCGAUCUCAAACCUUAGGAAAUCACUACAAAAACAAAUUUUCAGGUAGGUGAUGAGUCAUAGCUGAUGCGUUCGGAUAGCUGUUGUUUUGCUAUUUAAUUGGAGUCACUUUGUUAGGAUGUUGUUGGGGAAAACUUUUAUUUAAUUAUGCUACUAAUUCUUUAUUAACAAUUGGACUAUGACAUUUUGAUUCAAUAAUUUCAAU
Molecule: long non-coding RNA, 448 nt
Organism: Trifolium pratense (red clover)
Lineage: Eukaryota; Viridiplantae; Streptophyta; Magnoliopsida; Fabales; Fabaceae
Exons: 3
Source: RefSeq, a predicted model, not a curated record